RNAcentral lists this ribosomal RNA (433 nucleotides) under uncultured bacterium. RNAcentral describes it as "partial 16S ribosomal RNA". It matches the Rfam family "Bacterial small subunit ribosomal RNA", at positions 29 to 507 of the family's 1533-position model. The record is from RNAcentral.
AACGAACGCUGGCGGCAUGCCUAACACAUGCAAGUCGAACGAGACCUUCGGGUCUAGUCUCGCACGGGUUCGUAACGCGUGGGAACCUGCCCUUAGGUUUGGCCUAACUCCCCGAAUGGGGUGCCAAUAGCGGAUAAUAUCUUCGGACCAAAGAUGUAUUGCCUUUGGAUGGGCCAGCGUGGGAUUAGCUAUUUGGUAGGGUAAAAGCCUACCAAGGCGUCGAUCCGUAGCUGGUUAGAGAGGAUGAUCAGCCACACUGGGACUGAGACACGGCCCAGACUCCUACGGGAGGCAGCAGUGGGUAAUAUUGGACAGUGGGCGAAAGCCUGAUGCAGCAAUGCCGCGUGAGUGAUGAAGGCCGUAGGGUUGUAAAGCUCUUUUACCCGGGAUGAUAAUGACGGUACCGGGAGAAUAAGCUCCGGCUAACUACGUG